This is a long non-coding RNA of Hydractinia symbiolongicarpus, 444 nucleotides long. RefSeq lists it as uncharacterized. The transcript is spliced from 3 exons. The record is from RefSeq and is a predicted model, not a curated record. NCBI's taxonomy places the organism in Eukaryota, Metazoa, Cnidaria, Hydrozoa, Anthoathecata, Hydractiniidae.
AGAAAAAUGCCGGAAAAUAGCAGCAACAAGACGUCAUGAUUGUGGUUAUCCAGGCAUAACGAAGCGGGCAUGCGAGAAGAAAGGCUGUUGUUAUAGUGAAUUGCUAAACCAAAGUGGACCGUGGUGCUACCACCGCCUAGAAAAAUGUCUGCGCAAAGCAACAGAACGUGACGACUGCGGCUAUCCUGGUAUAACAGAAUUCGAAUGCAUGAAAAGAGGUUGCUGCUAUAAUUCAUUGCCCGGUCGUGGGCCAUGGUGUUAUUACCGAUGAGAUACGAGGACCUUCGGAAGAUUAUAUGCGAACUUUAGUGUACUCAUUGUUGUAAAAAUAUGUUGUCAAAUAAAUACCUCUAAUAUAUGAACUUUUCCUUCCCAAUAAGAUCCAGUAGGAGAUGAAUGAUUUGACUGCCAAUUUUCUUUUUGUCAUGUCGCUGCAGCCAAACA